Molecule: ribosomal RNA, 857 nt
Filed under: uncultured bacterium
Lineage: Bacteria
Description: bacterial SSU rRNA
Rfam family: Bacterial small subunit ribosomal RNA
Source: RNAcentral
GAUGAACGCUGGCGGCGUGCUUAACACAUGCAAGUCGAACGAUGAUCCCAGCUUGCUGGGGGAUUAGUGGCGAACGGGUGAGUAACACGUGAGUAACCUGCCCUUAACUCUGGGAUAAGCCUGGGAAACUGGGUCUAAUACCGGAUAUGACUCCUCAUCGCAUGGUGGGGGGUGGAAAGCUUUAUUGUGGUUUUGGAUGGACUCGCGGCCUAUCAGCUUGUUGGUGAGGUAAUGGCUCACCAAGGCGACGACGGGUAGCCGGCCUGAGAGGGUGACCGGCCACACUGGGACUGAGACACGGCCCAGACUCCUACGGGAGGCAGCAGUGGGGAAUAUUGCACAAUGGGCGAAAGCCUGAUGCAGCGACGCCGCGUGAGGGAUGACGGCCUUCGGGUUGUAAACCUCUUUCAGUAGGGAAGAAGCGAAAGUGACGGUACCUGCAGAAGAAGCGCCGGCUAACUACGUGCCAGCAGCCGCGGUAAUACGUAGGGCGCAAGCGUUAUCCGGAAUUAUUGGGCGUAAAGAGCUCGUAGGCGGUUUGUCGCGUCUGCCGUGAAAGUCCGGGGCUCAACUCCGGAUCUGCGGUGGGUACGGGCAGACUAGAGUGAUGUAGGGGAGGCUGGAAUUCCUGGCGUAGCGGUGAAAUGCGCAGAUAUCAGGAGGAACACCGAUGGCGAAGGCAGGUCUCUGGGCAUUAACUGACGCUGAGGAGCGAAAGCAUGGGGAGCGAACAGGAUUAGAUACCCUGGUAGUCCAUGCCGUAAACGUUGGGCACUAGGUGUGGGGGACAUUCCACGUUUUCCGCGCCGUAGCUAACGCAUUAAGUGCCCCGCCUGGGGAGUACGGCCGCAAGGCUA